GCUGUAACUCUUCUAGUGUUACUGCCGGUCUCAAGCCCGGGUAAAUGAGGAGGGUGGG
Molecule: non-coding RNA, 58 nt
Filed under: Schistosoma mansoni
Lineage: Eukaryota; Metazoa; Platyhelminthes; Trematoda; Strigeidida; Schistosomatidae
Source: RNAcentral